CCGAGUUUACAACUCCCAAACCCCUGUGAACAUACCACUUGUUGCCUCGGCGGAUCAGCCCGCUCCCGGUAAAACGGGACGGCCCGCCAGAAGGACCCCUAAACUCUGUUUCUAUAUGUAACUUCUGAGUAAAACCAUAAAUAAAUCA
Molecule: unclassified non-coding RNA, 148 nt
Filed under: soil metagenome
Description: partial internal transcribed spacer 1
Source: RNAcentral